GUAAGGAAUAUUGGUCAAUGGGGGCAACCCUGAACCAGCCAUGCCGCGUGAAGGAUGAAGGCGUUAUGCGUUGUAAACUUCUUUUGUAUGGGAAGAAUGAAAGGGAUUCAUCCUUGGAGAGACGGUACCAUACGAAUAAGCACCGGCUAACUCCGUGCCAGCAGCCGCGGUAAUACGGAGCGUGCAAGCGUUCUCCGGACUCACUGGGUUUAAAGGGCACGUAGGCGGUUAAUUAAGUCAGUAGCGAAAGACUGUCGCUCAACGACGGAUGUGCUAUUGAUACUGGUUAACUUGGAUCAGGUUAGAGGUGGCGGAAUGGGUCAUGUAGCGGGGAAAUGCUUAGAUAAGGCUUGGAACACCGAUAGCGAAGGCAGCUGACUGAGCCUUGAUUGACGCUGAGGUACGAAAGUGAGGGUAGCGAACAGGAUUAGAUACCCUAGUAGUCC
Molecule: ribosomal RNA, 446 nt
Filed under: uncultured bacterium
Lineage: Bacteria
Description: partial 16S ribosomal RNA
Rfam family: Bacterial small subunit ribosomal RNA
Source: RNAcentral